Molecule: long non-coding RNA, 4883 nt
Organism: Mustela putorius furo (domestic ferret)
Lineage: Eukaryota; Metazoa; Chordata; Mammalia; Carnivora; Mustelidae
Source: Ensembl
GGGAGUCAGCAGUUUGAUGUGGGGACAGAUUAUUUCCAGGUGGCGGGAAUGGCAAAUGCAAAGGUCCGGGGGCAGGAACAGGCCUGGCAGCCUGAGAACGGAAAGAUAGUGGGCGUGGCUGGAGGGAGGGAGGGAGGGGAGCCCCGGCCACAGGGCCGCAGAGAGGAGUUUGGGUUUGAUUUCAAACACAUACCUCACACUCAGCCAGCAUGGAGAGACCCAAGAAGCAGCUCUGGGAUAAGUCAGCACUUGGACAGAACAUCUGCUCUUCACGCCCCUGACUCUUUCAGCCGCAGCAUGUUCAGGGAGCCCCGCGACCAGGAGGGAGAUGCUCUUUCCUUUCCCUCAGGCGCUUCUCUGAAGGAUGGAAAAAUCGAUGCCCACAGAAGAGCGGGUGCAGGAAAGGUACGGACAGCAGCGCUGGGAAGAAGACCGAGGGCAGGGGGAAGUCAGGCGCCGGGGAUCCCAGUGGCUGGGGUUCUGCUCCCCAUCUCCUGGAACAGACUCGGAGGUGGGCGUGGUGUGGUCUUGUUUUGUAAUAUUUUGUUCUGAUGACAAAAGCUACCCAUAUUCGCUGUAGGAAAUAAAAAUCACCCAGUCCCUCCCCGGAGGUAACUUCCCUGUUAACGCACAUAGUAAAUCCUUCCAGCCUUUUUUCUCUGCACAUUGAAAGCACGUUUUAUUUUUUGCAAAACUAGGCUGUGCUCAACUGCUUUUUUUUUUUCACCAGCACGCUCCUGUGUCCUUGUGGGGUGUGACUUCCUCAUGUCUGAUGGCUGUGCCAGGAGUGGUCUCGUCCAAUGGUGGAGGCACUGCUCAGGGCUUGGGGUCAGAAUCUUGGCCCGUUGGCCGUGUGACCUCAGUUAGGUGGCCUACACCCUCUGACCGGACCUUGGUCCUCCUCUGUGUGGCAAGCCUGCUGAUGCCUGCUAAGGGUCACACAAGAGAAGAAGCAAGAUGCACUCGUCCCACGCGAGCAUGUGGAGAGCAUUCCAUCAGCUGGGGGUAGUGCUAUUUUUUUGUCUUCAUCAUUACACAGCCAGUCCAUCAUGACUUAGCCAGUCCUCUGACAUUGAACAUGGUGGUUGUUGAUCCAACCUUCCUUGAAAAAGAGGCUCCCACGGAUAUCCCUGCCAAGAAAUCUUUGACAAAUCCGCAGUUAUAAAUUCUGAGUAAUUUCUUUUUCUUUUUCUUUCUUUUAAUUUUAAAAGAUUUUAUUUAUUUAUUUGAGAGAGUGAGAGAGAGAGCAUGAGAGGGGAGAGGGUCAGAGGGAGAAGCAGACUCCCUGCUGAGCAGGGAGCCCCAUGCAGGACUCAAUCCUGGGACUCCGGGAUCAUGACCUGAGCCGAAGGCAGUUGCUUAACCAACUGAGCCACCCAGGUGUCCCUAAUUCUGAGUAAUUUCUAGGAGCAAGAUUAUAUACGUUUUAGAGCCCGUGUUCUACAUUCGCUCCACUGCCCUCUGGAAACCUUUUGGUGACACUCUUGUAUGAGUUUCCUAGGGUAACAAAUGACCACAACCUUGGUAAGCUUAAAAUCCCAGAUGUGUAUUCGGUCAUAGUUCUGGAGCCUCGAAGUUCAAAAUCCAGUGUCUAAGGCAGGGCCACCUUCCUGCUGAGGACUCCAGGGGAGGGUUCUUCCUGCCCCUUCCAGCUUGUGUCAGCGGUCUGUGCCCCUGACGUGGGGCCUCUUCCCCUCCAGCCUCUGCCUCUGGCCUCCUCCCCCUGUGUGUCUCUCACAAGGACACUAUCCCAUAAUCCCGCAUGAUCUCCUCAGCCCAAGAUCCUUAGUUUAAUUACCUUGGCAAAGAUCCUUUUUCCAAGUAAGAUAACAUUUCCGGUACUGGGGAUUGGGACACGAUCAUAUCUUUUGGGAGGCUACCAUUUAACCAACUACACGUUCCUACUGAGGUACGAAAAGUUGUGUAGAAUUCUCUUUCCCCUCACCACACAGGACAUUCCCAUCUUUUUGAAAUGUUUGGCCAAUUUAGAGGGUAAAGCAGAACAAAACCCUUAUUUUAAAAUGCCUUCUUUUGCUAUUAAUGAAGAGGAAGCUGUAUUCAGAGGCUUUUGCUGGUCAUUUCUAUUUCUUAUUCUUUCUUUCUUUCUUUUUUAAGAUUUUAUUUAUUUCUUUGACAGAGAGGGAACACAAGUAGGGGGAAUGGGAGAGGGAGAAGCAGGCUUCCCGCUGAGCAGGGAGCCCAAUGUGGGGCUCGAUCCCAGGACCCUGAGAUCAUGACCUGACCUGAAGGCAGAUACCUAACGACUGAGCCACCCAGGCACCCCUGUAUUUUUUAUUUUCUUACUGAUUCAGGACCUUUGCCCAAUUCCCUAUCAGGUAUUAGUGAUGAAAGAAAACAUUUGCCAACUUAAGCCGUCUUUCAGCUAAACUAUCUUCCCGGACUAAGAGCGAUAUAAGACAGUUCAAAGACUGAGAAACUACCACUCACAGAGCUUUGCUCAAAGAACCAAUGAAAGAUGGUGAAAGGAAUACAGAAACCAAGCCCUGUAUCAAGUAUGUAAUGAGCCACGAGCAAAGAUAUGAAAAUGUGGGUAAAAUCUAAGUAAGACAUGGCCAUUAAAAUUGGUAAUAAUAAUAAUGACGAAUGGAGGCUCAAAACACGAUCAAAGCAAAAUAUGGACAUUCAUACCUGCUGACUGGGAGGUAUGGCUGGAGUUCAAUCACUCUGAGACCUUCACUGUCUAGGACGAGGGUGGGGAGUACUCAAUUAGAUCAUGUUCAGUCAGUUAAACACGCUAGAAAUUUAAAGAUAACCUCUAACAGUCAGAAAUGGAAUGUGUAACUUUCAAACCAACAGAGGGAAAAGGGGAAGAAAGAAAACAGUGUCGGUCUAAUAGAAGGCAAAAAAAAAAAGAGGAGGGAGGGGAGAACACUGUUGAUUUUUGUGUUUUUGUAGGAUUAUACGUUACUAUUUAAUAGUUUUUAUCUGCUCCCCUUGGGUUUUCAAGUAGUCAGUUACAUGCUCUACAAAUCAGGAUGAUUUUGUCUCCUUUUCAGUUGCUGUUCUUUAAUUUGUGUUUCUUGUCUUAUUGCAUUGUCUGAAAGUUUCAGAGCCAUGGAAAAUUACAGAGGCAUCACUCAGCAUCCUGGUCUUAUUUUGGACAUGACUAAGAAUGUUCCUGGUGCUUCACCACUAGCUGUGAUGUGGGCUCUUGGCUUGAGACAGAUCUUUUUUGUCAUUGAAUCAGUCAGGAUAAGUGAGAUUCCGCUGCAGAAACCAAUAAUGUCACGAUCCCACGGCUUGAGAAGGGUUUAUUUCUUGUCCAUAUUAAGUCCGAGGUGGGUCCAGGCCACUCUGUCUCAGUUACAGCUGUGACUGGCUCAGCAUCGCAUCCCCACAGCAUCAAAUGCCCACAUCCUUGCUGCAGCAAGAGAAAGAGACUUGGAGAGUCUUGUAUGAGCAAGGAAGUGCUUCUACCUAGGAACAACACAGAUGACCUCAGCACGUGGCCCUGCCUGAGCCCACUGGGAAGUAUAGUCCCAGCCUGGGAAACCUCGUAGAUGUCACCACAAGCACGUUAAGCAAGCAUCCUUUCAUUGCUGACUUCAUCCCUGGGACCCUGAAAGUCCACCCGAAUGUCACUGGGUCUUGGCCGUUUGACGAGUAGCACCAGGGGCUAGUACAAAGGUGAAGUCGUGCAUUCACGGGCUCUGACAAUGCAUGUUUCCGUUGGAGCCUGGCUGCACGUGUGACCCUUCAAUUCUGCCAAAGUCUCUGACCCCUCAUACCCGAGCUCCCCUUUGCCUGAGCUCCUUUGAGUGGAUUUCAAUUUCUUAUGACCCCCCACGAUGUCACCCGGGAUUAUUUGCUGCUGUUUUCUUUGGAGUUUCUAUCAUAUUCCUAAGCAAGACUGUUCUGUAGUUGUCUGCCAACACUUUGUGUUAGGGUUAUUCCACAUUCUUAAGAUGGCUGGGGAAGGUUUCUGUCUUUCCUGCGUCCCAGAAUGGAAUAUCUGAAAUAUGUGAAUAGUUGUUAGUAAAAGUGUUGGGACCCCACACUCCUCUAGGAAGUAGCUCUUUCCCUACCUUUUCAAUUUACUCUGUAGUAAUAGAUUUUGUGGUUUUCCUCUACUUGUUGAAUUGCUUUGGGUUAUACAUAUUUUCCGAUAAAACUAUCUGCUUAUUCAUAUUUUCAAAUUUAUUAUCAUAAGGCUUCACUUAAUGUAAUUUGAUUUUUAAAAUAUUUUUGUUCCUAUUGUACAUUCAUUUCUCUCUGCUUAUUAUCUUUGGAUCUGCCAGAAGUUCACCUAAUUUAUUAGACUUUCCAAAAGAACAUGUCAUAGAUUUUUUUUUUAUUUAUCUUUUAUUUCUGGUGGGUUUUUUUUUCCCUCUUCUCUAAUUUAUGAAACUCUGCUUUUUAUUUUUCUCACCUUCCACCCUUUCUUAUUUAAGAAAAUUCACAAUACGGAGCUAUGAAUUUUCCUCCUUAAAACAUUUUAACCACCUUCUCACAUGUUUAGAUAUGUGAUAUUUGCAGUGCUAUUUUUUUAAGUAGUUGGUCGUGUAGGUUGCGUUUAGAGUUAUUUACAAAAGUCGUGUUUAAUAUUCAAAUGGUUGGCUUUUUAAUUUAAACUUGUGUUAAUAAUUUCUAGCUUAAUUGCAUGGCAGUCAAACAAUGAGGCUUUCGCUAUAUCUGCUUUGGGGAUUCUAUUGAAGUUUCCUUUAUGGCCUAAUAUAUGAUCAAUUUUCAUAAAUGUUUGAUGGGCUCUGGCACACAAAUGAGUAUCUUUUAUUUGUAAGGUACAAAGUUCAGUUAUUAAAUCAACCUUAUUAAUUCUAUUCUUCCAAUCCCGCAGAAAUGUGUUGGGGGGGGAUACGAUUUAAAGCUGUCAAAGACAGAAGUGUGUUAAGUCUCAUCUGGAG